Gallus gallus (chicken) is the source of this 8607-nucleotide RNA transcript. It is a transcript of the gene named saxiphilin, with no coding region annotated. The transcript is spliced from 18 exons. The record is from RefSeq and is a predicted model, not a curated record. Lineage: Eukaryota; Metazoa; Chordata; Aves; Galliformes; Phasianidae.
GUCAGAGUAGAGAGUGGAUCCUUGCUGAACAACUGUAAUCAUGAAGGCAGUUCUUAUAAUUGUCCUAAUCAUCUUCACUUCGCUGUCUUCAGGGAAAAAGUUUCGGUGGUGCACUCUCUCCGAUCUAGAACAGAGGAAGUGUGCUGAGCUGUCCAAAACACUAACAGCUGUGCUGCCUGUCACUAGCAUCGAUUCAUUUGCCAGGAUUUCUUGCAUCAGAGCCCACAAUACAUAUGACUGCAUUGAUAAAAUCAGAGUGAAUAAAGCUGAUGCUGCUUCUCUGGAUGCAGGAGAUGUUUACUCUGCUGUAAAGCUAUAUGGUUUGACCGUUGUGGCAAAGGAGAUCUAUGAGCAGGGAAAUUGUGUUUUUGCUGUGGCUGUUGCCAAGCGAGGAACUUUGGAUAUCCAGAGGCUACGAGGUGUGCGCAGCUGCCACAAUGGAGCCAGAUGGACCUCAGGCUGGAAUAUUCCACUUGGGUUUCUCCUUGCAAGGAAUGAUCUUUCCUGGGAUGAGGCACAACCCCUGAGCCAAGUUAUCAGUGAGUAUUUCAAUGCAAGUUGCAUCCCUGGAGUUGGUGUUGCUGCUCCUCAGCUGUGUGCUCUCUGCCAAGGACAAAAAUCAUAUGUCAGAGACAAGAACCACUUCUGUGAGACCAGCAGCAACGAACCCUUCUAUGAUUCUGAUGGGGCCUUCAGGUGCUUGAAGGAUGGAGUAGCAGACGUUGCAUUUUUAGAUCAUCUGGCAAUUAUGGAAGCCACAGAGUCAGAACAACAAGAAUACGAACUCUUAUGUCCUGAUGGGACUACAGCCGAGCUGAGCAAAUACAACACCUGUAACUUGGGCAAGGGGCCUGGCCGUGGCAUCAUCACCCGCCACAACUUCCAAAAGAUCACCAACAAAUUUCUUACCAUGAUCCAACGUCUCUUUGGUCGAAAAGGAAAGGAAAGAGCCAGAUUUGAACUUUUCAAUUCAUCAUCCUUUGGAGGAAAGAACCUUCUCUUUCGAGAUGCCACUCAGCACCUGCAACUUCUUGAGGAACAGCUAGAAAUUGCAUAUGUCCUUGGUCUGGAUUAUGUAGCUCUCCUUAAGGGACUAGGUCAUGAAGGGAGCUCCUUGGACAACCGUGUUGUGCGCUGGUGCUGCAUCAGCAAUGCUGAACUUCGCAAAUGUGAGGAGUGGGCACUGAGUGUCAAAUCUGACCCCUUAGUCUGUGUCCAAGGAACUUCCAUGGUAAACUGCAUUGAAAUGAUCAAGAGUAGUGAGGCUGAUGCAGUCAGUCUGGAUGCAACGCAUGUCUACAUCGCAGGGAAGUGUGGAUUGGUGCCUGUAGCCGCAGAAUGUUAUGGGCAGGUUUGUGCUCCAGCUGAUGAGAUCACAGAGGAAAUGAGGAACCUUCAUCUAAAGCACAAAGGACUGUCACCUGUUUAUGCUAUAGCCUUAGCUAAGAAAAAUGCCAAGCAGAUUAACAUCCAUAACCUUCGGGGAAGGCGAUCAUGCCACAGCCACUUGUAUAGUCCUGGAGGAUGGUUACUUCUUUCCAGAUACACAGUGGGAGCUCUGGAAAACGUUACUGAAAACUGUGAUGUUGGAUCUGCUUACCAGAAUUACUUUUGGAAGGGCUGCAUGCCAGGAGCAGAUGGAAACCUGUGCAAAGUUUGCAUUGGAGACAGCGAGGUGGAAGGAGCUCGAGUGUCCAGCAGAUGCGCUGCCAGUCACAAUGAACACUACUAUGGCAAUAUGGGAGCACUCAGGUGCUUAGUUGGCAAUCCCAGUGGAAGAAGUUUUGGAGAUGUAGCUUUUCUGGAACACUCAAACUUACUCUGGAAUAUAGAAAAUCUGAAAAGUUCUGGUUGGGCAAAAGGUUAUACAGCUGUUGACUUUGAACUCUUGUGUCCGGAUGGAACGCGUGCUGCAGUCACAGAAUGGGCUGGCUGCAACCUUGGUCCCAUUCCUCCCAGCACAGUCAUGACUCGACCAGUCACGGUCACUAAAAUCUAUGACUUCCUAAUGAAAUCUCAGGAAUUUCUGGGAUCCAAGCUGGAUUCUGAAUUUCAUCUCUUUCAAUCUCAAAAAUAUGGGGAAAAUGAUCUGCUUUUCAAAGAUGCUACUCAGUACCUUGUUCCUGCAACUCACAUGAGCUAUCAGGAAAUCCUUGGAGAACCUUUCUUUCAGCUGGCAGAAUCAGUGUUUAAUUGUACACCUGCAGCAUGGAAUCAUGUGCAACAGCACCCACCAGUCCACAUAACCCACAGCACAGAACUAGGAUCAGCAGUUCUGAUUGCCUGCAAUGGAGGAUUCAUCAUUUUUUUGGGGAGUAGCAGGGUCAAUGCAUUGGACUAAAGUAUGGACUGUCACGAAUGGCACAGGUUAGUGGGUAGCAGAAGUGGGAAGCAGAAUUGGGUAGUAAAAGAUACCUAUUGUAUCUUCUAUAAUUUGUUUUCGUGCAAAAAAAUUUCAACUGGUGGUGGUUGCAGAAUUAUCUUCCUAUAUUGUAAUUGCAGUCCAUGUUGAACACACAUAUGUAUGAUAAAUUGUUUAUGUAAUCACUAUCAGAAGUCUCUUCUGCUUUUAACAGGAAAGAAUGUAUUUUCUUCAAGGAUUUAUACUAGAAAUCAAAAUAUUUUUCUCUCAAAUUCAUGUUGUAAGACAUCCAGUAGCGAGCAGACCUGGAUUCUUGCAGCCUGAAAUUGAAGGGAAGCAAUGGAUAUAUGAGGGCUGCUCCCAAAGUAACACCUCCUCUUUUAUCGCUGGGUUUCGAUGAAUUUUUAAUUAAACUGAACUCUUUUUUUUUUUUUUUUUUUUACAAGCAGAAACUGUCUGAAUGUGAUAUUAAGUCUUUUGAAUACAGUGUAUCAUAUCAUAGUUUUGUUUUGUCUGGGAGGACUUUGUGGAUAGCUACUCAUAGGCAUUUACUUUCCAAUGAGUGUUAUGACCUACCCCCAUGCUGCCUGAACCAGGCAAAUUUAAUUUAAUUAAAAUAAAUUCAACAGCACAAAGACCAAAACAACCAGCUUAUACACAAAUGUCACAGUCUUGCUACAUCAAUACAAUUGCAUGAACCACUACUACAGCAAUAAAAGAAAUGCCAUGAGUGGAGACUGGCCAGCUGCAAUAGAGAAAGUAAAUCUAUCUCCACUACAAAGCAAGGAAAAAAAAACCCACAAACCACCCAAACUCCUCAAUCUAGCAAAACUAGGCAGUAGGAACCCAAAAUACAAUUUGUAAAACACACUGCUAGAGUGACCUGUUUUAAGCAGUUUAUUCCAUGCCUAGGUUGCCUUUCCUUUGUUUGAUUUACAUUAGCCUUUUUCAUUUCCCUUUUUCCCUUCCUGAGAAAAUAAACUGCACAAAGGGUUUUAGAUUCAGUGCAUCAUAGUUGAGGCUGUUCUCCAACUCAUUUGUCCCACAUUUGUCAUUAAUUAAGCAAAUAGCAGAGAGCAGAUGCAAAUCCAAACUCAUGCCCCUUUAACAAAGAAAGGGGAGAAAUAAAAUGUAGACAAGUCUCAGUAUGGUAACAGAACAAAACCUUUCUGUAUGUGUAACCCCGAUGAAGUGGAGGAAGGGCAGGCUCUACUUCAGGUCCUUGGAGUGCUCCUUUCCUUUCUUUACUGGAGCUUACAUGCCACCUCCAGGACUCGCAUAAUAUUGCACUUCAAUCACAAGAACAGGGUGAAGUGCAAGUGCCAGCCUAGCUUUGUCAAGAACAGAAUGCUGCUGAAUAUGUAAUACACUGAAAACCUGGGUUAUAGGCAAGGCUGGGUUAUAAACUGUGAGUGAGGGGGAAUUACUUUCUGUUAUAGCUUGCCUAGCCCUGUUUCAUUUUCCUAUGCUUCAACUUUGAGUUAGAAGCAGUGGUUUGAUUUCUUGCACAGACUGCAUUAUGUAAACCACGGUCCUGUUCCAGCUUUGAAAUAGUUGGUUCCAAACCUAGGGGCAAUGGUCCAUGCUGUCUCGAUGCUACUGUUAUGAAGAGUAGUUUGGUAGUUCAGAGUGUGCUUUAAACUCUGCAGGUCCAUUUCUGUUCCUUUUGAGGUUUGGCUAUAGAUAAAUCAACACUGGAAUUGCUGCUGCAUACCUCACUAACAGCCCACCCAGUUACUUAAUGCUGUCAGUCUGAAGAGAUUUGACCUUUUCCCCCAUGUCUGUAGGACAGAUGUAUUGUGCAUGUUUACUAAUACAAGCCUGAAGAAGGCUUAAAAACAAACAAAAACAGCAGAAAGGUUCUCAGAAAAAUUUAUUUCCAUAAAUUAAAAACACACACAAAAGAAACAGUAAAAUUUUAAAUUCACACAAAAUUGAACAAAUAAAAUGCCAAGAGCUUGACGGAGGCUAAUGGCACAGGCGUACAAACUCUCACUGAGUUAUCUGUUGACAUGAUAGCAUCAUAUAGACAUUUAAUCCACAGUUAGCAUCCAUAUCCUAGAAGAGCACCUGGAACACAAUAUACCAAAGGCCCAACCCAUAUGAAAUGCAAUAAAUGAGAACUGCUUGCAGAAGAUCAUACCCAGCAAGCAUUAGAACUCAAAUGUAUGCAGCUACAAGGCCAGGCAGGCAAACUUUCUAAUGUACAUUAAGUAGUCUUAGCUGCUUCAGUUGCAGCAUGAUGAAAAUAAGAUUUUAUGUUUUUAAGAAAAAAAAAAUCUAACCCUCAUAAUCAGCAAAUUUAGUAAAAAAAGCUGCCUGUCUCUGAAAAACAACUGCUAUGUGAUGGUACAUGUCAAAAGCUUUGUAUUUCUUCUCAAGCUGCUCUGGACAUCAUUCUGUGAGCAAUAUGUACAAAUAUCUUUCCAUGAUGUUACAAAGAAAAAAAUUACUGGAGUAGGCUCUCUCUAUGAAAAGAGAGUUGUACAUAUUCUUCCGCAAGGGAAGUAUUUAAGACUCCCAAACAUACAUUCUCUGUAUUUUCUUCCUUCAAAAAUCUGAGACAGAAGCAGCUCAGAGUGGCAGUUACCUACCUUUGCACCAUCAUCACUCCCAGUGUACAAAGAACAGCCACAGGGAACGAGGUUGUUCCAUGAGUGUUGUAAGUAGGGACAGAAGUGGGAGAGGAAAAAAAGUGCACAUACAUGACUGAUAUCUGUUCCUGAGGAGGAUGUAGGGAGGAAGAAAAAAAGAUGCUUUGUCUCAAUUAGCUUACAACUCUAUCAUAAAAAUAUAAAACCAAAUCAGAAUAAUCCAUAGACCCUAAGGUCUGGGACAACCUAGGCAACUGCUACAUCAUUUUCUUACUCCUCCAAUUAUUGUAAAUAAAAGGGGAUCAAGUGUUUUCUUUCUUAUGCCCCCUCUGCUAUAACUAUUAAAAAGUUAAGAAGUGUUAUUUCAAAGCAAUUAAUUAGAAACAAGACAGAGCAAGUAAGCAGACAAAAAAAAAAAAAAAAAAAACCCACAAAAGUUCCAUAUUUUGAAGCACAUCCGAAGCUUGAACUUUGCUUGGACCCAAUUCCCUCCCUCUCACCCAUACUGUUUUCUUAAAAGCCCCAGUGAGGUUACAGCUCAAUUCUAUCACAACAGUAAAAGCCUUCCAUUUUAACAGAAGGUUAAUUAACACUGUGUCAUAAUCCCAUUCUACAGCAUAAAACCAUAAAAAUAUAUCUAUCUAUAUGUGUAUAUAUAUAUCACUCUUGCAACAGCUUCCAUCCAGUCAAUAUUUGGGUAAUAAGCGAACAUAGAGAAAGUUUCAAAUAUUUUUUGAAAGGUAGUUGACCUUUUUUUUUUUUUUUUUAAUUUUUAGGGAUUUCUAUAAAAAUAAGAUCAAUUAAAAUGUUCCCCAGCAGCUCAAUUAGGUUAACCAGACCUUGCCGCUGAAACAGCGUGUCAGUAUGUUCAAAGUUUACCUACCUUGUUAUUUUAUCCUCAAAAUCCAAAUUACCACUACUCUAAGUCUGCACCUCUCUCUUUUCCUGAGUCUUCCUGAUUAAUCAGCCUCCAAAACAAGAAUGUAAACUGUCAUUAAUCCCAGCAUAUAAACUGAGAGCAAAACAAACCCAGAAUACAUUUAUUUCAAGAUUCAGGCACAGAGAAUGUAAUAUUCUUCUUCCAUCUCUCCACUUUCCAAACUCUGGAAUUCAACAGAUUACUUGUUAAUUCUGAGUUUUCUGCUAGGCCAGUAACCGAAAUGCAGGGCAGCAGAAGAUAGCGAUGGUAUUUUCAGUUCUUCAUUUAUUGGGACUUUAUCAAAAUACCUGCCCCCUAGAUACUUGCUUAUUCUGAAUGUGAAUAUAAACUUUAUUAUAUGGAUAGGUAACUAAGAAAGUGCAAGUUUUAAGUGACAAAUGAAAGAAUAAACUAGUUAAAUUUGAGCAUCCCAGCAAAGACAGCUUCACAUGAAUAACUUCUAUAGGCACUAGAGGACAGAAAUUACCUGUACUGCAGCUAGCAUUCAUUCUGAAUUACUCUUCAAGUAAGUUUAACAGAAGUUAUCCCAGAAGCGAGCGCUCUUCUCUUAAAACUUAUGGCUGAGAACUGCCCAGUGCUGCAUCAUCUAAUGACAAAUGGUCUCACUUAAUGAAAAAAAAUAUUUUACACAUGCUAGGAGGCUCUUUGUACAACACUAGCUAUUGCAUAAAACAGUGCUGUACACAGAAUAUCUAGUUGGGAGCUAUCUGAAUUACAAACCUAAAGUGGAUGUUAAAAUCAAGCUGAUUAUAUUUCCUGAAAUGAAAAUUGCUUCAGAAUGAGUCUCAAAGGUUUUGCUGGUGCUUCUUGUAUGCAGCAGCUCAGCUCAGCUAAUAAAAAGCUCUACCUGCAUACCCUAUGGCUUAACAUACUCAUAGGAUUUGCAUCUGGAGAAGGGGUAUAAAGCAUCAGCCAAUUUGGCAAAAACUCACUAUUUAGGAAAAAAUAGCAGUGGGCAUCAUCUUUUCUGACAGUAUUACUUAUUUUUUUGUUUUGUAAUCUCAGUCGUGUUAAAAGGGGUCCUCGUGCUGCAAAUAAGGAUAUACAAAGUGCAAGUUCAUUAAAGUCUAGUUAUGUGGAACUUCUGCUGCCUGAAGCCAGGAAGGGCAUAGAAAUUCGUAAGGAACCUUCUAAAUAAACAGAAGGAAGAAAUAAUUGAAAGUAAGGUAGGAAUGCUAUUUUUAAUUAUUAAAAAUUUAGUGGUAUUAUCAAGGAUGUGUUGGCUAAAAUUUAUCUUUACCAAACACCACAUACUCUGAUGUCAUAUUGUUCAAAAAGCCAUUACAGUAGUAACAGCAAAUUCAAUGUGCAAAGAUUUUGGAGUACAGAGUCCCAGCAUCAUGGGAGGUGCGCUACUUCCUCCCUGAUACUCCCACCACUCUCCCCUCGAAAGGUCUUGAAACAGAACUAAAUGUUAGCCAUAACUUCCAGGGGUUGGGGAAGGAAUGCUAAGUCACACGUGACCCUAUGAGAAUCCCUCCAGUAGCAAAAAAGAAAAAAAAAAAAAAAGAUUAAAUAGCACCUUAGUGGGUCACAGCCAAUACUUGAUCAUCAGAUAUUACAAGAGAGUGGUAGAGUAAGGUAUGAAGAAAUCAGUAGAUUUCUCCCAACAGGACUAAGAUACAUACUAAAGUAGCUCACUGGACCAUUUUCAGCUCAUGGCUCCCUCCAGUGCUAGAAGACAACUCCUGCUCAUCCUCCUUUGCAAAAAAUUCUUCAAGGUCCAUUAGCUUCUGACUCAGAAGGGCAUCUAACUCUGCACUCUGUGGUGCAGCUUUUUUUGCUCGAGUGAAACUUCCCACUGCUUUGAUUUUGCCUCGUGCCUUUCUCUUUCGAGGAACAGUGAAGUCCUGAAACUCCAGAAUCCGCUUUCUCUUCUGCUGGCUGACAGAAAUCAAGUGUCCAUUUUUUUCCUUGGGCUCUUCAAAGAUUGUUUCCAAGCUCCUGAUAGAAGCAGAAGAUAGAGCUGAUGAAUACUCAAGAAGUUAUCCCCUUACAAGGACAGGGAGACUGAUGCUCCCAAGUAAACACUCCUACUUUUUACAUUUUUACAGCCCAUUCAUAUUCCUUCUUGUGUAUGUUUAUCUACAGUUUGCACCUCCAGCAACUGCACAUUUAUACUGCUAGCUAAAUAAUGUUAUUGAUGCAUACGCAUGCAGUUUGAAUCUCUUUGUAUUUCAGUUCAAAAGCACAAUUACAGAGAAAUUUGAUUUUAUAGAAGAAAGUACCGGUCUUGACAGUCGUGAUAUACUUGAUAACAGUUAUUCUUGUGAUUUUAAAGAAUAUUCAGUUGCCCUCAGAUUUUGAAAAGAUAAAAUUUAAGUUUUUACAUCUGCCAUUCCAACACUGAAAAAAAGUAGAAGAAAGUAUCAGCACCUUAUUUCCACUUCCUCAAGCAAAAAGAACAUAUUUAUCCAAGUAAGAAAACUAAGUUCUGCAGUUUCGCAUACAUAUUUCAUAGUAAGAUACUUAACGUGCUUGAAAGCAACAGCAUUGUUCUGUGCAGUGAUCUACUUGGUGUUUGUGUGAAUGCCCCCGUACAUUCCCCUUCAACAUCCAAUCAGUGUGUUUCUCUAGAACUUUAAUCAGAAAGCUAUUACUGAAGUGAACUGUCAAAAACUGAAACACAAAAUGGUAUCAAUGUCUCUUUCUAAGAAAGCUAUUGAUCCAGCUACUCAGAAUAAAUAUCAAAGUUCUAGAUACUCACCAUA